RNAcentral lists this ribosomal RNA (465 nucleotides) under uncultured bacterium. RNAcentral's name for it is "bacterial SSU rRNA". It matches the Rfam family "Bacterial small subunit ribosomal RNA", at positions 338 to 795 of the family's 1533-position model. The record is from RNAcentral.
CCUACGGGUUGCAGCAGUGGGGAAUUUUGGACAAUGGGCGAAAGCCUGAUCCAGCAAUGCCGCGUGCAGGAUGAAGGCCCUCGGGUUGUAAACUGCUUUUGUACGGAACGAAUAGCCUGGGGCUAAUAUCCUCGGGUCAUGACGGUACCGUAAGAAUAAGCACCGGCUAACUACGUGCCAGCAGCCGCGGUAAUACGUAGGGUGCAAGCGUUAAUCGGAAUUACUGGGCGUAAAGCGUGCGCAGGCGGUUUUGUAAGACAGUGGUGAAAUCCCCGGGCUCAACCUGGGAACUGCCAUUGUGACUGCAAGGCUAGAGUGCGGCAGAGGGGAAUGGAAUUCCGCGUGUAGCAGUGAAAUGCGUAGAUAUGCGGAGGAACACCGAUGGCGAAGGCAAUCCCCUGGGCCUGCACUGACGCUCAUGCACGAAAGCGUGGGGAGCAAACAGGAUUAGAUACCCGUGUAGUC